RNAcentral lists this ribosomal RNA (468 nucleotides) under uncultured bacterium. Its description in RNAcentral is "partial 16S ribosomal RNA". It matches the Rfam family "Bacterial small subunit ribosomal RNA", at positions 28 to 507 of the family's 1533-position model. The record is from RNAcentral.
GACGAACGCUGGCGGCGUGCUUAACACAUGCAAGUCGAACGGAAAGGCCCUGCUUUUGUGGGGUGCUCGAGUGGCGAACGGGUGAGUAACACGUGAGUAACCUGCCCUUGACUUUGGGAUAACUUCAGGAAACUGGGGCUAAUACCGGAUAUGAGCUCCUGCUGCAUGGUGGGGGUUGGAAAAUUUCGGCGGUUGGGGAUGGACUCGCGGCUUAUCAGCUUGUUGGUGGGGUGGUGGCUUACCAAGGCUUUGACGGGUAGCCGGCCUGAGAGGGUGACCGGCCACAUUGGGACUGAGAUACGGCCCAGACUCCUACGGGAGGCAGCAGUGGGGAAUAUUGCACAAUGGGCGGAAGCCUGAUGCAGCAACGCCGCGUGCGGGAUGACGGCCUUCGGGUUGUAAACCGCUUUCGCCUGUGACGAAGCGUGAGUGACGGUAAUGGGUAAAGAAGCACCGGCUAACUACGUG